This 40756-nucleotide long non-coding RNA is filed under the name Phoenix dactylifera (date palm). Its description in RNAcentral is "long non-coding RNA (PDAC_LNC002216)". Lineage: Eukaryota; Viridiplantae; Streptophyta; Magnoliopsida; Arecales; Arecaceae. The record is from RNAcentral.
GUUUGAGGAGGUUCCAGUAAGAAAAGGGGCUCAAGUGCAGUAAGGAAGAGGGUCAUGUCCAAGGAUAUAAUGAGAACUUUAUUUUUAUAUAGAUCUAAUAGGUAUUAGUUCAAAUUUGAAGGAACAGAUUUUUUUUUAUCAAUUCCAUCUUCUGUUCAAAUGAAAACUAUUGUGCUACUUUUUAUAUCUAUUUGAAAGCUAGGGCAAAAUGGCAGUUGGAAAGCUAACAGUUCUUAUUUGCAAAUCUGUGAGUCUAAUUCUGCUACCUGUUGGAUUAAAACCAAUAUAUGUUCACUACAAUGAUAUGUUAUAUAGUUCAAACCUUGAUCAAUGGAAUGAGAGGAAGUUGGAUGGAUGUUGGAUAACAUCCAGGGUUUGCAAUAAGUCGUGCAUUUCGGAUUUCAUCCCUCGAAACUUCUGUCAGCCCAUAUAUGGCCUCCUUCUGUAUCAACAAGGAAAAACAUUAGCAAGAAUUUCAAAAGAUAUGCAAUGAUAAAGCUUAAAUAGCACCACUAUCCAUCUUGCACAAAGGAAAAGCAGAAACAAGAAAAUCACAAAAACUUGCCUAUAGAUGGGAAGAACAAUAUUGAACCAAGAAUAUAUUGGUCAGACCAGCUAAGAAGUUAACCCAUUGUAUGCAAGGAGGUCAAGAUCGUGCAACAACAUAAUAACAGAUGAGGUUCAUACUAGAUCAAUGGACCAAAUACAUUUAGAAUUGAACAUUACCUUAAAGAAAUACAAAUGCAACCUUGGGAAAAAACCAAAAGGAAAGAACCUAAUCAGUACAGCUGACCUCCUUUUUUUUCCAAUUUUCAUAUUGAAUUUAGAAUUGGAGUCAACAAUCUGCAGCACAUAUAGGUUGGCCAGAAGAGAUUACUAAAUUUCAUCCAAGGGAAGGAACUUAAUAUCGAUUAAGAUAAAAUCUAACCUAGACUCUUAGAAAUAUUGCCCAUUGUUCAUGCAAAUGCUCGGUACAGGGCAUAUAAUUUCACUAGGUAAUACUGUCAGUCAUAGUUUUAUCAAAAGUCAUUUAAAAACAGCAACAGCCCAACAACUAUAUCUUCAAGAGGUCUUGGAUUUUUUCCACAUAUACCUCCUGAUUGCCAAGCUCAUGGUGCAAUGAAGUGGUGAACCAUAAAUCUCCUUCCAAAUAUGUAAAUACAGUAAUGAAAUUGAUACUCAUACAGCCCAGUAUUGUAAACAAAUUGAUUCUCAUAAGUGCAUAGACUAGUCUGCUUUACUAAGGAAACGAGGACCUCAAUUACUGCAGUGUUCCACUAAAGUUACUGUGAACAAAAUGAUAAAUUAGAGGAUCCAAUUAUGAUCUUGAGUAAGGACCAGGAAGUUUGACAUUGCGAAGAAAGAAAAAAGGAAAGGAGUACCUAAAAGUCACGGAAAUGCAUAUAUGAAAAUUUCGCUACUUCAGAUUAUGUUCAUUUUUUAUAACUAAGUUCAUGCAUUCUCAUUUCUUUUCCUGCACUUUCCUUUUUAAGCUUCGAUUCCUCCAUGACAAAGAUAGCAAAUCAUGUCUUAUCAUCAAAAUAUGCCAUUUGGACCCAAAGCUAGAAAAAUAAAAGGAGACAGCUGAGGUGUCACUUGUAUAAGCACCUGAAGCACUGGUUCACAGAUACAGCCAGUGAACAAGUUGAAGAAGACAGGAAAAUCUAUUACCAGCAAGCUCCGUUGGCUGUGAAGUUGGUCAUUAUGGAUCAAACUGGUGACCAAUGAGAUCUACCUCUUGACUUGAUAAUAAUCAUCUUGAUCGAUGCUGAGUUUCUUGUCAAAGGCAACUUUAUGCAAAACAUAGGCCUUCCAAUGUAUAUACUUGUCUUAUACAGUUAAGUAUAAUGUAAGAAAACACAGCAAAUGUACAUGAACCUGAGUCUCUAUCUGCAAAUUUAGAUAAUAGAAAAUGGACCAUGAUUAUUUUAGGUGGCCAGCUAAUAAGACGACAGGAAAUCUCAUAUGAACAAUAUCAAGUCAGUUGUCAGAAUGCUACUUGAGAUCCUUCCCAGACCUCAAAUACUAAUUGAACUCCAUGAACUGCAAUAUUCACAAGCGCAAUAUCAAACAGAUAAAAUUGAUAGAGUAAACAAUACACUCCAAAACCCUGUUUUCGACAGAUUUUUCCUUUCCUGUCAUAAACCUAGGAGUUCAUUGUUGUCACAUAAAUAGUAACAUGUAUAUACCAUCAUGAGUUUACAAUCCAACAUCCAACAGAGCAACCUUAAUGCAUAACAACAUUACUUUUCAAAAAAUUAAUAACAAGUUACUUGGAACAUUUUUCUCCCUAAUUGCCAUUUUCAGUGACUAAAUCAUCAUAGAUAACAAAGAGGAAGCACUAACAGCACAACUGAGCAUUAAUAAUUACAAAAGCAAAAGAAUACAAACUAAAACUAAGGUGAAAUUGUAAUACGGAAAGCAAAAUGCAAUCCAAAAAAAAGUAACAAAGUUACCUGCAAUUCUGGUGCUUUAUGAGGAAGACCAUACCAUUCUUCAUAUUCAUCAAUAUCACGCAGACGAAAAUCCUGUAAAAGUGUUUACUAACUGUAGUGACCUCUCACAAGAAAUGAAUCUAGAGAUAAUCUUGUAUGCAUUCAUAAAAUUCAUAUGAAAUUGCUAAAAGGUGCACCCGAAGCAUACUGCAGAGAGAUCAACAAUCUUCAGCCCCUUAGGGAGGCCUUUGAUGAUUUCCUGUGAGAAGAAUAAUAUGUCAGAAAAUGAAACGAGCAGAUUGUCUAUCACAUUCAUAGAAAACUACAUCCGAUUUUCUAAUAUAUUAAAAGGGUCCCAACCUAGACAUUUAAAAAAGCAAUGUAAAAGAACCUGUGUUGUUCCAUGUGGCAAACAACAAAAUACAGCAUCCACAUCAGAAAAAUUCGCAUCUUUAACAGCAAUCAUAUCAGGCAAGUCCUGCAAAUCAACAGAUAAUCUGACAUCAGCCUAUCACUUGUUCCACCAGAAUCAUUCAGCAUUGUGUUAUAAAGCCAUGAGGAAGAAAAGAUUCUAUGAUAAAAAAAUAUAUCAAAACUCCUCCAAUAUGCAACUGGUUAUCAAUCAUAUAUGACAACUGCCAAAACGGAUACCAGAUUGGUUUAGCAAUCCUGCAAACUGAAAAACCAACCCAAGUUAUUUAAAUUCCAAGAUUCAUGUCUCCAUGUCAAUUCCUGAAAGCAAACAUGGGUACAUCUGCUGCUUUUUCAAGCUCAAGGAUUCAAUACUAUCAUAUAAAGGUAAACUAUACCAAGAACAAAUAGCCUUUUCAAUUACUGAGGUCCAAUACUAGAUCAUAUUAAUGGUUAAACCAGCAACUGAAACCUUAAGACAAAACAAGAGGGGAGGGAAAAGAAGGAUAAGAAAUGUACCUGUGUGAUCAAGUGAGGAAAUACCGAUCCAAUUGAUUGACCAGCUUUUCUAUCAGCAGUCAUGAGCAUAAUGCCAAACUGAGGAUGGUUUGCCAGGAGCCGAAUAAUCUGUCAAACAAAAUUGAAGAACUUGCAUGUCACUGGAAAUGCUCCGAGAGAGAGAGAGAGAGAGAGAGAGAGAGACNNNNNNNNNNNNNNNNNNNNGAGAGAGAGAGAGAGAGAGAGAGAGAGAGACCCAAAUCUCAAAACUGAAAACCAUGCAGACAAGAAAAUCACAGCGUAGUAGUUAUAGUCUGAUAAAGUUCAAACAAUAACAAUGAAAGAAAAUAACCUAUAACAAGCCACCACCUAGCAUUAUAGAUAAGCAUAACAGUAGGGCUAGAAAAUUAUAUCUUGUAUAGUUGUAUAAGGUAGUGCCCAAUUUCUUACAAGGCCAUGCCCUGCAUAGUUUGAUUACUUCUACCUUUUCAGAUGGUUAAGCUGGGUUUCAACCUAUAACUUGCACUUACGGAUCAAUCACAUAACACAUUGGCAUGAAAGAAUUGUGAAACUUCUUUUAAUAGGUAAAAGGCAUCAUUAUUAAUCAGCUUAUCAAUAAUUGUACACUAGGAGCACGACAAGCGAUAAUGACACAAACCCAGCAGAUUGAAACCCAAAAGAUGAAGCAAAAGAAGAAACAGCUGUAUAUCCAGAAAAAAAACAAAAGCAUAAAGGAAUAAAGAAAAUUUCUAUAACUAAUAUCUACAAAAAAUUGUCAGCAGAGCAUCGUCAAUUAUGAUUUUUCUUGCACGUCAUCUUGAUGUAUACAGAUAGGUAGCCUCUAUAUAAGACAUAUAUAGUUUUCAGCACUCCUAAAUUGUAGAUCUUCUUGUGGCACAACCAAGGCAUCAAAGGAAUCAUCCAACCUCAUACAUCUCAACACACAAGAUUCUUGGACAUCCAUCUAUCGUAGCCUAUUCCACUUGUCCUUACCAAAGAAUUAUACAUCUUUAGAGAAAGAUAUAACUCAAGCUUCAAAAUAGAGUCUACUGCUGACUGAUCUUUAAAAAUACUAAACAACUUCAGAGGAAGGAUAUUGCAAAAUACUGCCAGUGGAGACCCAGAUUCGGAAAUCUAAUGAUCAACCAUGAACAUUAAUGAUUUAGAAAAGUGAAAACCAGAAGAAAGGGUAUUAUUUUUCACAUUUGUAUAUGCUGCAUUUAGAAAAUCAAGUACUCAACUACUUCUUUCCUCCCUACAUAAAUUUUAAACCAAUUGAAAUAAAUCUUCCAAAAUCAUUAUCUAAUUUAAAUUCUAUCGGUUACCACUAAAAAAAUCCAAUAGAAAAAGAGUAAAAACGGAUUAAAAAAAAAAGAAGUAUACCUCGGCCCCAGUAUAACCACUGGCCCCCAAGACCCCAAUUUGGACCGUUUUCUCCGAUUUCUGUGUCUUGCCCUUUGCAAGCUGCAAGCUUUGCUGCGACGAAGCCACGGAUGCUCUCACCCGAAGCACUAAUCCACUCCGUCUCCUUACUUUCAGUCUCCCCACUUCGUUCUGCUAAUAAAAAUCAAUUCUUUUUUACUUAAAAGAACAAUAUUUCCACUUCCCUUGCUUAUCCAUAAAAAACAGUUCGCAAUACCGACCUUUUGUAGGCUUCCGACAUCCACAGAAACUGCUCCCAGCGCCGCCGAGCUCAUUUCCUCAGAAACAAAGACUGAACAACGAAAAUUUUAAGCUCGUGUUUCUUUUUCUCCCUCUACAAGCCCUGAUUGCUUAUAUAGCAGAAGGAGUAUCGGAUUCCCUGGGCAAGAAAGAGAAAGACACCAACUCUCAGAUGGUAAUAGGAGGUCGAGAAAAGAGUACGGUUCCAAAACGGUGGAAAUCUUGGAAAAGAUUCCAAAUGCGGCGAAUAGAUUACCUUCUCUCGAAGAUAAGAUGCUUUUGGGAAUGAUUUGGACGUUGAUGGCUGAAACCCUAGACCCAGAUGGAAGGAGAGCACCAGGAGAGAGGGAGAGGCGAAGAGAGGGCCAGCAUUUGGCCCCUCGCCGCGCUCAAGCGUGGAAGAGUCCGAUAGGGACUCGCGAACCGGGCCCCGGGUCCGCUGAGAACCACCACCAACGAUCCGACCCGACCCGACCCGACCCGGAAAAAUCAAGCCGAUCGGAAUUGUCCUGAUUCACCUGGACCUGACUGGACCGGACUGGGCCCGACUGGACCGGACUGGGCCCGACCUGCUCCUACAAUGGCGGCAAGGCGGUUCCGCCUGGUACCUCCAAUGUACAGCAGGGAAUGGAAGCUCCAGCCCGGUGGUCGGAGUUGGAGACUUCGGCCGUCUGAUCCUUUUCCAACAGGGAAGGGAAUCGGCCCAACGUGAUAGAGAAGGGAGCUGCACUCCUUCGGUCCUCUUUCUCUCCGCGUAUCCCCUGUGAGGCUGUGAAAUAGGGGCUGGCGAUGACUGAAACAGGGGCUAGCGACGUGAAACCGAAGCAGCAACGGGAUCGACUGAAGACCAAAAACAGGGGCAAGGACUUCCCUUUGAGUCUCGAAGAUUAGGUCCUCGGUGAGGGGAUCCUCGCCGUGCGAGUGACACAUCGAGAGAGGCCCUGGAUGCAGGCGGUGGUAGGCGGCGAGAUCCACUUCCAGGGUGUGUUUGGCUCAUGACCAGAAUCGGAUUGAUGGGAUCGCCUUGAUCACAACUCCAGUAGGGCCGGAUUGCUGGAUCUGGUUGGGAAAUGGAAAGCCCGCAUGGGUGCGUAUCAUGUGGGGAAUGAAGAAGAAACGGUGAAUAUAUCAUAUAUUCGUGAAAGACGUGGAUGUUGGGCGGGGAAACAUCACUAGAAAAAAAGGGCAAAGAGUAGUUUGCAAUUGCACUGUGUCGAUCAUCUGAUGGUGUACGUGGAAAUUAAGAAAGGAACCUAAGAGUGUUUCCAAGUUGCUGUUGCGGGAGAUCGAUCUUGUUCCUGUAAGUACUAUAGCCAGCAGCUGGCGUUAGCCUUAAGAGACCUCAGAAGCGAAAGUAUCAGCAACUUGGAAAGUGAAGACUCCCUCUUGUUUUCGUAGAAUCACGCUGCAUGGCCAUGCAGCAUUCCGUGACUUGAGUCACUUGACUUAUAAAAAAUAAAAUAAAAAAACUCAUUCAGUCCGCUAAGUAAUAUACCUGCAGUUUCUUCCUCACCAGCUGAUCCUGCUCGUCUAUGUUUAUAGUGUCGAGGGAAUGCAAGUUCCCCGAGCUCAUGAGAACCUUGCCGGUGCGGGAUCGGAUGACGGCCGACCGCGGACGGCCGAACUUGAUGCCCGACUUAAGAGUGCCCGACCCCGGGAGUCGGACUCCACCAACUGUCCACUAUGGAUACUUUCCCCUACGGACCGACACAGGAUCACGCCUUAGGUGGCUUGCUCCACAAUUAAUACGCCCGACCUGGCGCCCCACGCCGCCCACCUACCGCGGUUGCACCCUUCCGAAGUCCAGUCAGGGGCCAUACCGUGCCACCGCCUCCAGCAUUUAAUGCGCAUGAUCUCUGCAAACCCCCGACUUACUCAACAAUUAAUGUAUAUCUCCGACUCACUCAACAAUUAAUGCGCGUGGUUUCUAUCAUCUACGGAUCUUCGGUCCUUCACGGCAAAUCAACUCGGCAGCGUUCGGUCAGCCGUGACAACUCUCUGAUCCCGGCCUUGCCUCCGACGUCAAGGCAUUAAUUCACCUAGUCGCGCGCCAACUCAAGCGAUGUGCUGAGUCGUACGGCCACCUCGCCCUAUCACAUCACAGGUAAUCCGACCUCCCUAUAAAAAGGAACCCCUCCCCCUCAGUGGGGGGUUGGACUCAGAAAAAGCCCAGCAGAAUAUAUCUCCUUCCUUCCUCUCUCCUACUCAAAAAAAAUUAAGCCCCCUCUCUGACUUAAGCAUCGGAGGGCCGGCGCCGGAAACCCCGGCUACCGGUUUUCUUUUGCAGGCCCCCCAAGGAGGACGCCGCUCGCCGACGGAUCGCCGCUCCCCAGUAUUCGCCGGAGCUCCUCCUCCUUGGCCGACGGUCGCCCCCGGGUCCAAUUUCCAGCAACAUAUAGCAUGUGGGUUCUUUCCACGAGAAGCUCGAUAACGAGCAAGCUCUUCUUUCACACGUGAAAGGACCGGCUCUGAUCGCUGCAAAUGCGUUUAGGUCUUCAAUCUGUAAUGUUAAGAGACUGUUCUCCUCCUGUUGCACUGGGUGAAUUAUAUUGCAUCAAGAAAAAAAAAAAAUCUGAAAAUGUAUAAUUCGAAGCUCUACCCUUCCUUAAUUUUAGCAUGGUGAUGAAUGUACUGCUGGAGAUUCUGUUGACUGGAGAGCCUUUUUACUUCAUCUUCAAGUUCCAUAGUCAUCUUCUUGGACUUCGCAUUCUCCACCUGCAAAAUUUUACAAGAAGCUGACAGCCUGACAGUGAAGUUAUAUAUGCAUAUAUAUAUAUAUAUAUAUAUAUAUAUAUAUANNNNNNNNNNNNNNNNNNNNUAUAUAUAUAUAUAUAUAUAUAUAUAUAUAUAUAUAUAUAUAUAAUGAAAAAACUAUAACAAGAGGGGUCUAAAAUUGCUUAAAUUGGUAGAAGGAACUUCCAGGCCUUCAAUAUUUCAUGACGCUCAGCCACCCUUUAUGAAAUAUUUCAUGUGCGGCUGGUUUGGAAUGUGCACAGUAUAUACUGCGGGCCAGAAUAAUUUUGUUGGCCGACGAUUCGGCUACAGUAACUAAUUAGAUUUAGAGAAAUUUAAUGGUACAGAUGGGCGCCACCUCUUAUAAAAUAUCUGAAUUAUAGUGAAAGAUAACGUUGAGUUACAUAUUAGACAUAUUUACAGAAAGGCUAACGGAGCUGCGAACUGGAUGGCCUCAUAUAUGGUUGAUCAUUUUGAGGGCACUCCGUGGGUCAAAAAAAGAAGUGCCUAGUGCACUCCGCAAAAUGUUGGCUUUUGAUUUUUUUUUGAAUAUAUUCAUAUUAAAAAUGUACAAAGUUGGAAGUUUGGAAGCUAGAUACGCACGGUUGAACUCAAAAAUUUGGAAGCUGGAUACGAGUAUACCUGAAGUGGACACUAUAAUGAUUUUUGGCAUGGUGACUGAAUUACCUUUUUUUUUUUUUUUUGUCGUUGGCAGGUCACAUCAUAGCCGAAAAAACCUAUUUUUCCUAUAGUAAAGGUUUCCGCCUCACUCCCGUCCGAGUCGGAUAGCUCCCGCCAUAAAAAAUGGUGGAUGGCGGGAUGCACUGGAGGAUUACAUGGACUUCAAUGUAGAAUCUCUCAAACCCUGCAUAACGUGGUCACUGUUGACUUUCUUUCCUAGACCAGUAGACCCCUAGUUAUAGGCAUUAGGUGAGAAAUGAGCCCUGUCAGAUCAGUAGACAUCAUUCGCAUCCCUGAAACCAUUGUAUUCUAGAAAUACUUCAGUAAUUAGGAAAAAAAAUCUGACAUGCAAUGCCCAAUUUAGCAAUUCGUUUACCAUCUUAAAAAAAAAUGCUAAACAAAUAUACAAGCAAAUAGAUGCCAACUAGUGUUAGCUUAAUUAGUUUGAACCCUUAUUCAGUAGGGAUUUGGAAGAGGCCUAGAAAUUAAAUUUUAUGGUUGCUAUCUCACUGCACGUAUAAAUCAUACUGGCAAUCCUCUAAAAACAUGGCAACCUUCACUGGAGGAAUGUUUAGAGACUUGAGAGUGAAAAAUGGAUCUUUCUCUAUAAAUAAGCCUUCCUUUUUUGGAACACUAACCAGAGAAAUUAUUGGAUGAAGGUUGAAAUCAUUCUAAUGCGUGUUGCGAUUAUACAUAAAAAGAAAAGACAAGAAAAUUUAGUCUAAAUCUAUUGUGGAUCUGGUCGACCUAAUAUCGCUUACCGUACUAGAAGAUUAGAUUCUGGUCGCUUCCUCCCUGCAGGCUCGGAUAUCCAGGCACUGUAAAACCGACACAGACCUCGCAUCUAACUCUAAUCCUCACCGCGUUAUCGUCCACGUAAGGCAUAAGCAUCGCUUGCAUCCGCAGCCGUCCAACCCCUAUACCACAGUCCUCGGAUACGACCGUCCCAUUCCCUGGGUAGCUUAUCCCUUCCGCCGGAACGCGAUAUUCCGACCUGGUCUUCAAUGACCGGACCCCGACGAUCGCUACCUCCUCGUUGUCUUUGAGCCAAAGUAGGGAGACCAGACGCGAUGGCAGCGACUCUCGUAUUUAUUUCCAUCCUCUUCUCCUCCGCCACUCUCGUGCUCUCCCUUCCCUCCUCCAACGCCUCCCGCCUCGCCUCUUCUCCGUCGCCGCAAACCCCUCUGUUCCUGCAGGUAUAUCUCCUUCGGCCUUUCUCUCUCUCUCUCUAAAAUUGCAACACUGAGUGCAACGCGGGGUCGUGCAGGGCGUGGUGAAGGCGAUCGCGGCGAGGGAGCGGUGGGAAGGGGAGGUUAGGGUUUCGGAUCUGGACGCCGGAGGAGCUAGGGUCGGGGGAUUCCAGAGGUAUGAGUUCCACGUUCGUGUGGGUCGGACGGUUUUGGUGUCGAAGCUUUCUGACGAGGUGCUCUCCUGGAGGAAGGCGCGCCGCGCGGGCGCGGUGGAGUUCGGGCCGGAUUUGACGGCCGGAACCGCCGUGGAGGGAUUGAUGCCUGUCGUCAGGGAUUUGGAGUUGGAAGGCCCGCUCGAUUUGCGCGUUUCUGGUGGUGGGGAUGAUUGGCUCUCGCUUCAUUUGCCCGCUGUAAGUGAUUUUUUUUUUUUUGGAAAAAAGAAGAAGAUUGAAACUUCUAAUUUUAAUUUACUAUAGUUCUAACACUCUUUUGGAUGAUCAUUGAUCAAUUUCAUUUUUAUGCGUUUUAAGGCUAAUUGCAGGGUUUAAUAUAUUUUUAUAUAUGGCAUUGGAUUUGUGCACUAUCUGUUAUUUUCUUUAGCUCUGCUUGUCGACUUGAUUAUUGUGGCGGCAUACUAAGUAAGCUGUUCGUAAAUCGAGGUCGGAAUCGAUUUCUUAAGAUUGCUUGUUUCUGUUUUUAGUGGCUUACUUCCAUGACAAUAUUAUGUUUUAGUGUAGUACAGUGGAAAACCCCACUUGCUUAAAAAGUCUACACUUCUGAAGUUACUAAACUUACUAGAGAAUAGAACAGAGUGGGACAUAAAUGAAGACAGCUUCCAAGUUCUCCGGUCAAGGUGAUAGCAUAACUAGGAAGGAGAAAUCAUAGAAAACUGAAAAAAUGAAAUAUGUCUUAAGGUUAGUUAUGUUACAAAAAAAUAUAGGUUGUUCAAUCCAACAUUCUCAAUCCUCGCUGUUAAGCUUAUCUUAGAUGCAUUUAAUUUCUCAAUAUCUUUGUUAUCUUUGCCUUUUAUGUCUCCUGCAAACAACUUCAGUCCAUGGACUUUUGACAGGCACCAUCUCUAAUUGGUCUAAGUGAGAGAAUAACAUUAGAAGGUGUGAAGUUGUCUUUUAUAACUCAUAGAACACACUAUUCUCAUUCACAUUCAUUCCCCUUUUAUAUAAUUUUUGUAGUUAAUACUUUAGAAGAGUGGAUGAUCAUUUAAAAGCCUGAUUCUUGAGAGGUGCCACUGGACGCAGUUCAAUUACAUAAAUAUAUUCUUUUCCUAAUCCAAAUGGAUUCAUUCACAAUCAAUAGAAGGAUCCAACUAAGAAUGACUCAUUGUGUGUCCACAUCUAGACGUUAAGUAUCUUCAACAUCGGUUUUCACCUUAAACUUCUAGAUGAACAUAGUAACUGCAAUUAUCACGUCCAUCCCUUCCACAUCAUUGGAGUUCUCCUGCAACCUCCGUUGUUGCACCAAAGAUUGAGGUUAUGCCAAGAUCAAGAAUUGGACUACUUGCUCAUGUAGAUCUAAGCAAAUCACCCGCUUUAACAUAUAAAGUCACCAUAUUAACUUGUCCAAAUUUUUCCCAUAAAUCAUGAAUUCAGGUUUUUGUGGCAAAUGUACAAUGGAGCCAAAUCUUGGCGGUUCUUAAAUCCUCCAAUUAGAAACUCCACUUAUCUCCAUGAUUAAUUUGAAAAUGUAUCUUGUUAUCAGAAAAGAUUGAAAGUGUAUGCUAUCUGAAAAAAUGUGAAGUUUAUGCCUUAGUUCUAAUAUCUUAAAAUCACCUAUAGUUUCUUUCCAAGUGUCAUUUGUUAAAUGUGUAAAUUACCACGGUAACUCAAUACACUUGUUUUCAACGUGUUUCUCCAGGAAAUAGUGAAAGUUUUUAUUUUGAGAACACUUUGUAUAUUUCAUCAUGAGAUUCAUAGUACAUUUUGUAUUUAUAUACUAACCUGUUUCUCUAAUUUGAACUGAUUAUUAAAUGUAAGAAUAACACUUUUUAUUUUGCAUAAUGAGAUUCAUAGUGCACACGCACUUAGCUAAAGUUCAAUGGUGAUUGAAGAAAGAUACCUUGUCUUCACUUCCAAGCCUUGUUGUUGGAAAAUUACUCUGUAAACUGCUUAAUUUGUGAUAUCUUCUUUUGCUAGCUGACGUUGAAAGUAUAAUAUAUCUUAAAGCAAAACCAUCAUGGUUUAGCUAAAAGGGAGUUGAAUGUCCUGAAGAUGACUUCCCCUCUCUGUAUGUUUAUGUUCGUGGAAAGAAGGAUUUACAGAUUGCCCUGCAGCCUACUGUUUAUAUUCUGAGAGCAUUGUGUUGGGGGAAUGAGGAGGCUGACUGCCUACUGUUUAUAUGGUUUAAUUAAUUGAUAAAAGCUUGCCCAAGAAAUGAAUUUAAGCUGAUAUUGGAUGCACCUUUUGUUUGUGGAUGGGAAGAUGAUGGAGCGUGUGAUACUCUGUAACACUCUUGGUUGUCUUGGUUUCUUUGGAUUCUUUUACUACUUGUUACAUAGUUCGCUACAGUGUAAUGGGACAAACCUUUAUAUCUUUAUAUGUGAAACAAAACUUGAUUUUGAGGGUCUGGGUCAUUAGUCAUUGCAAACUAACGAGCGUCAACAUCUUUCUUGAUGCAUAAACACAGUUUUCUUUGACUGUAGUACAAGAAUUAAGCAUAUCUGUUACUUGAUAUAACAUGUAGUGAAACAAACAUCCAACAAAACAUUUUCGUUUGACAUGAAAAAUCAUCAAAGAAAUGAUAUAAUUGAAAUUAGGUACAUCUAUACUGCUGUAAUGUGGUAACUAUUCCAAAUGUGUUCAAUCUAAUCCCACUUUCAUUUAUUGGACUGUUAUUAAAUAUUAACAUUUGGAAAAAGGUAAUAACUAUGUUUUCUUCCUAUUCUUUCUCUAGUUUUUGUCAUUGCAUUCAACUUCUAAAUGGGCGAACGAUAGUUGCAGUUGAUAUCCAUUCAUUAUUCUUUCUUCUUAUUCUUUCUCUGGUUUUUGUCAUUACAUUCGACUUCUAAAUGGGCGAACGAUAGUUGCAGUUGAUGUCCCUUCAUUAUUCUUUCUUCUUAUUCUUUCUCUGGUUCUUGUCAUUGAUUGGUAAUAUUAUUUGUCAUGGACUAAUGUUCAUUAGCAGAAAAAUAGGAAACAAAGAAACCAUUGUUGAUUGUUGAGAAAUCUUGUUGUCCUAAUGCGGGAUUUCAUCUGAUACAGGCUCUCAGUUCAGGAGCAACAGGACACAGGUAAAGGUAUGAGCAAUGUAGUCAGACAAGUGUACUCCAGAAAAAUGUAGUUUUGUGUACCUUCCAGGCAGUGGGCAUCCUCUAGAAGCACAAAUUUUGUUUUGAAUCAACAUUUAGAAGAAAAAAAAAACUAGGUCAUAUUAUUGAACAAUUUCUCCAUCUUAUUUUGUAGUAAAUUUUGAUGAGGGUUCACAUAUCUCUAGAGAUAAACAAAAGAAAUCAUUCUGGGUUUUUUGUAGUACCAGUUUGAUGAAAUCCACUUCAAGAAUUUAGAUUUGUGGAUUCUUAAGUAAAAACUCAAGAUGGAUAAGUCCGCGGAGAUUCAGGUUAGGAUUCUAAAUCAUUUUAGACUUGGAUCUCUGAAACCCUCCAUUGGAGCUGUAGUAUUUGGAACCUUCAUGUGUUCAUCUCAAAUUAUUAGUUACACUCACUAUGUCGUGGCACAUGAUCUUAGUUGCUAGCUUCGGGAGUCGGUGCAGGGAAGUGGGUAGUUUAGAAACACUUUUAGUAAGGAACUAGGUUGAAAAUAAGUUUGGGCUCGAGAUUCUAGGAAGAUUCCCAACUGGAUAUGCUAUGUUAUGUAGAUAGAAGACUCUAGCUUCUAAGGACAUGAUUAUUCACCCAAUUUUUUAUUUUUUAAAUAAAUUAUCAAACUGUUGGCUAUUACAGGUCAUUGUUGUUCCCAUUGCAAUUAGGAAAAUGUUUCCAUUUGUCCUUUCUUCAUGUGUUUUACAGCAGUCUUUCAUGUAGUUAAGAUAAAUGUUGUCAUGCCUAUCUAUUUCUAAUUUUGUUUGAUUGGAUAUGCUAGUAGAUAUAUCAUGAUCCAGUACAAGACAGUAUUGAGUGUAGAUAUGGAUCUCAGUGAAAUUAAUAGAAUCCCAUAUAAUUUAUCGUUUUUUGACUCCUCAACUUUGCAAGUUUUAGCUUGAAUUGCCUAUGCUAAUCUAAACAUUUUGAAUUUUCUUUUUUUGGUUUAAACAUCUAUUAUUUUUUUUGUUCAGCUUCAAUUGUUUCUCCUUUUCCCUGUAUGUACCUGUGCAGAUUUAGGCAUGUGUUUGCUGUAAUUUUUUUUCUUCAUUAUAAUAAUAUAAUGAAUUCUGAAGAACGUACAAUAUUUUAAUACAGUUGAAUGUCACACAUAGACAUUUGAGGCGGGUACUUGUUGGCAAUGGCAUCAGAGUAAAGCUAGAGGGCGCUCAAGAAGUCUCCCUUAUUCACCCUUAUGACAUUGGUCUGUCGCUGAAUGGAAGUUUAGCCACUCGAAGGAAAGAGCAUAAGCAGUUUUGGGCCUUUGGCUAUUCUUCAUGUGCUCCAUUGCUUUCAGUGCUUGUUGGAGGAUCAGUUUCAGUAAUUGCAGUUAGGAACCGUAGCUCGCUAGCUCCAGUUGAAGCUGCAUUCAGGUCCCCAGAUACAGUUGAAUUGUUGCCUGAGAAGUGUUACGAUGGGCAUUUCAAGUCAACUCCUUCAUGUUUAUUUUGCUCUAUUAGCAAGAGGUUGGUCCUGUUGGAUAAAGCAGUAGGAAGCUUGCUAGGCGACGGGGUGUUCCAGAGCGGGUCUACACGUUUCCUGAAAGCAAAAAUCAUGUCAUCAACUUUGGUCAAAUUUCGAUUGGAGCUCGAAAGAGACAUAACCAAGAAUGACAGUAUCUGGAAAAAGACUGCAGAGUGGAAAACAAAACCUACGGUCGAACGGCAUUGGUUUGAGAUAGUGGCUAGAGUUGAUGGGGAGAGGGGACUGAAGCCUGUGAUAACCAAGAAGCUGAAGAGACCUUUUAUCGUAGCUGAUUCUACUGCCUGGAGCAAUCUGAUGUCGAAUCUUUCAUUCACUCAGUUUCCAUCUGUUGUUGUACCCCCUGAGGCUUUAACAUUGGAUGUCAAGUGGUAGGAAGUAUAUAUUGUUCUUCUUAUUCUGGAAGUGUGUGGAUUUGUUAUAUGUGAAUCCACGCAAAAGAUGCCUUCUGUUGUGUGUACCCAGAGUUAUAAGGGCUUCACAAGGUCAUUUGUAGAGGAGGGGAAAGAAAGGUGGUGUAAAUAUGUAUCAGUGACGAACAUUUCUUUUUUGGAUAACAGAAAAUAUAUUUUUUUCAGAAUAACAUAGAGAGUUUUUUUGCGAUGCCAUUCUAAAUAUCAGAUUUUGCGUGAAUAUCCUUUGAAAAUUGGUAUUUGCAUAUAUACCUUCGUAAAAUUUUAUUAUUGUACAAAUAUUCCUAAUAUAACGGUUAUUCUAACGGUGUUAAAAAAAAUCAUAUUUUUAUUAAUUAAAAAUAAAAUGAAAAUAUGAAAUGAUGUUAUUAUCCUUGCUUUCUCCUCCUCCGCGCCCGUCUUCCACACUCGCCGCGCCCGGCUUCAUAUUUGUUCCAUCGCAACCCCACAUUCUUGACUACACAGGGUUGCAGUGCUUCUACCUGGUUAACUUAUGGAUACAGCUUGUACCAUGUACAUGUUCUAUUGUAUUAUUAAUUAACCUUGUGGUAGCAUUAUCCUGCAGAAGUGGUGAGAAAGUUUUGGGACCAGACGACUGUUCCAUUUUUUUUUAAAAAAAAAUGAUUGGUCUUUGUUAUUUAUUUGAGAUUUUCUUUCUGUUAUUAGAAUUCUCAAACUUUUCGUCUAGUGGGGAGAGAAGAACAGGAGGGACGGAGUGCUAUGAAUCUAAAUGAGUAAAAUUGAUCAUUGAACAUCGUAUUCUAAGUGUUUUUUUUUUUAAUAACACGGGAAAAGUUCAGCUAAAUUCAUUUGAAAUUAUGAAUGUAGUAAAGAUGAGACCGGAAUCCAGAUGACUUACUAAGAACUGAACCAGGUGGCACUCUCAAUCUCGAGAAAACUUGCUAUUUGCUAUUUGCUAUUUGCAGGUGAUGCCCAAGACUUUACUGGAUAUCUGCUAUGUAGUAAAAUUCGGAUGGUCUGUGGUGGUUGGGCUUUCUUUCUUCCCGUCUUGCAUUAUUUCAAUAGUAGAUUGGGUAUUUGAUCCAUUUGGACGCUCUUUUUAUUCCAGCUGUUAUUUACUUCUCUCUCUCUCUCNNNNNNNNNNNNNNNNNNNNCUCUCUCUCUCUCUCUCUCUCUCUCUCUCUCUCUCUCUCUCGUCUUUUAUCCUCAUCCUAAUAUAUAAUUUGGCCUGCAAUGCAGUUUACUGCAUGUUUGAUUGCUAGAAAAUCUAUAAAAGAGAAAAAAGAAGAAACAAAGCUUUUCAUAAAAAGAAAAAUUUUAUAGUAGUAACAACAAGUUCUUUAUUUUUUUAAUUUUCUGUUAAAACAAACGAAUGAAAAACUAAAUUUUCAAGAAAAGUAAGCUUUCCAUACAAUAUUUCUUGCAACAAAACAGCAGAGGAAACUUGGUUUCCAUUGAGACCUUGAGCGUGAUGCUAAGAAAAAAAUAGAAAAAUAUUCAUGAAUAAUCUGAUUAUAAUUAGUGCAGGACAUAGUGGACAGAACACGAAGAACAUCUUGUACUACAUCGCACAACCGUAAAGCGCCCGAGGACAAGACUCCAGCUGCAAAAUGCCAGCCUCUGAUUUCUGGAGCCACCACAAGUUUGUGGAUUUACUUCUUUAAUACAUACAAAGUCACUUCUGACAGAAAACUAUUCAGUUUGUGUAUCUCGAUGCAGAUUGGUGCCAUAUAGAGGUGUUGAAUGAAAACAAAGCAGCUUAAUAUCAUGUUCUUAUUGCCUGAGGAGAAGCAAAAUAAAGCUACCUUGCGGUUGAAGCUCAUGAUGCAAUCCCACGAUAGAGGAACAUUUUGUAAUUAUAAUAAAAAAUCAUUUCUGUGAAUUAUAUUUGAAAGCACCAUUGAUGAGGUCGGAGGGUAUCCCCAGAACCCUAGAGCUGAGUCCCCACUGGGCUCAGACAGCGGAAGCGACUGCUUCUCCUCAAAAAUAUUGUCCACUUUUAAGGAGGUUUCAUAGUCUCUUCCUAACGCACAGUUUUAUCCCGCAAAAGGCACCUCUGCAGUUAGAGAUACAUGCUGGCUUUCGUAGCUCAGUCGAUAGAGCUUGUCCUCGCUUUAAUAUUGUCCACUUUGAGGGAGCACACACGUGCUUAACACUAUGUACGGUUUGUAUACAACAAUUUCUCCCUCACGGCUUUGUCCCUCCUAAGAGGAUGCUUUUAAAGAAAAAGAGGUAGCGCCCCUUCAUUUAAGAAAUAAACCUCUCCGCUAUCUAGUCGAUGUGGGACUAAGUUCAGACCCUUUAUUUUCACAACAUGCUAGGAAUUUUUUCAAAAAAAAACAAGGAGACGCUGGAGAAGAAAAACCGGAUGGACUUGUUUUCCGGGAAGAAAAAGAACUAGAAGAAGAGAGUCAUUAGCAACUAGCGUGCCUCUUUUAAGGGAUAGUUUGGUCAGGGAAUUGGUUUCGACACUAGUCCGAAGAAAGAUGAAUGGAUGACCAGGAACUUAUUAAAUUAGCGAGCCAAGUUUCUCUCGCAUCCAGCAACCAACAAAGAGGGUGGUGGUAUUUCUUUUCCCAUGCUGGAUUGAAUGAUCUCUUUCUCUCUCUUACAAGUAACCAAGCAUGCAAUAAACUAAACUAAAUGAUGCAUUAAUAUGGCGUCUAAAGCAAAUGCUGGGAAGACGAGCAAACCCAUACAUAUCUUAAAGCAUCAUAAUACUCUACAUGCCUUACGUCUGACACGUACGGUGAGAACAAGACAGUAGUAGUAUGGAACACGCUGUAGCUAGGUUUUAUUUCACUUAACACUCUACUGUACAAUCCUCUCCAUAGCAAGACUCCUGAGCCAAUCAUACCGCCUUCUUGAAAUGAUAAAUUUGGGAGUUUUCCAUCUCCAGCUUCUUAAAGUUGCUGUUCUUCCUUGACUUAAAGAACUCCCCCCAGUUGUACGCAUUGUACUUGGCCGGCCUCUUCUCUUCAUCUAUGAGCUCCUCUAAUGGCUGCACCAUCACAUAAAGAGCCGGAUUGAAGAAGAAAGGAAUGGAGAACCUCUCCCCCACCGAGUUCACCGACACCCUGUGCUCUGCGCUCUGAUACUUAUCAUUGCUCCAGACCUAUCAUAAACAAUGUCAAAAACAUUAGUUUUCCAUGAAAAAAAACUAUAUUAGAUAUCGACGUCGAAUGAUAUAAACGAUAGAAAGUUGAAAUCUUGGUGCCUCGUCACCUGAAUUAUGUCGCCAACGUUGAUGAUAUAAGAGUUGGGAAUUGGCUUGACACGGAUCCACUCGCCGUCGGACUGCCUCUUGACAUCAAGGCCACCAACAUCUUGAGCCAGGAUGGUGAGGGCUCCGCCAUCCUUGUGCCGGCCGACGCCAAGGGCGAGGUGAGGGGAGGGGCAUGGAGGGUAGUGGUUGAAGCGGAUGAAGCUGGAUUGAUCUUUAAAGAACCCAUUCAAUCGAUUGGCAGGCAAGCCCAGGGUCAGUGCAAUCAGCUCCAGCAGCUUGAAAGCUAGCUCAUUCGCAGCUUUGGCAUAUUUCUCACAGGCCUCCCUGCACAGAGGAGAAACAUGGAAUAGGCAUGAUGUUCUAAAAACUUUCUGAUAUCAAAGAGGAUCUUAGCAGAGAUCUUGGUAGAUAUUUUAGAAUGGAGAAAUCUCGACUUAUAUGAUAAAUCCAAAACUGGCAACUAUAUAGGAUCGAUACUGAUUUUAAAAUAUAUUGAUUAAGUUCUUUUAGGAAAAAAGAAGAUAAAAUGUGAUUAUAAAGUAUCAGCCAGUAAAAUUGAAUUUUGAUAUUUUAGGAUUUCUUGAUUUAUAUCAAUCAAGAUAUAUAGAUCCAAUAUAUGUUAUGUAUUAUAUCAAGGGUCCUUCACUCUGGUACAAACUAAGAUCUUGGCGGAGAUAUCAGCUGCGAUGGAAAAUUUGGAAUUUACUCACAAGUUCAUACCAUGAUGAUUAAUUUGUAAAAUAAUAUGGAAAAUUAUGACAGUUCAAAAAUAAUGAUGACAAGAAAGCUAAACAAAAAUAUACUUUAUGAAAUACUUUAAAUAAAAUAAACAUAGAAAGUUAAUUGGCAUGAUGUAUAUGUCAAGUACUUAAAAUCCUUAGGAGUAAAUUUGAUAUAGUUGGAUCAAUAAUCCACUCAAUAACUAGGCUGAGAUAUGAAGUUAGAUCCCUCGGCCAGCAGUAUCUAACCAAAAGUUUUACUGAUCUGAUUCAGAUUGUUGAUCCUCAAGUGGAAUCAUCGAAGAUUAGAAUAGCAGUCAAACAAGAAAAUAAUCCUUUAAAUCCUUUGAAAUUUUAGAAUAGCGCAGACUAGUGAUUAAGAAAGAUGAUAACUUUCGAUGCAGAGAGAAUUGAGGGGAGAAGCAGUUACCUAAAUCCUGGAGGAUAUUCUGGCCACCGGUUCCUAAGCGGGAGGAACUCAUCAGCUCCGGGCUCGGCCGACGCCGGCAACACGGCCGGCUCCUCGACGACGAAGUCGAACACCUCCUUCCAGUCCCUUACAUUCUUGGUGUGCUCCACAUCGUAGUAGCCGAGCGGAUUCACAUCAUCCCUCCUCACCUGCCGCUUUUCCUCCGCCGGCAGCGCGAAGAAUCCCUUGGACGCUGCCAUGAUGUUGUCGAGGAGCUCUGAAGGAACCCCGUGGUUGAUCACCUGGAAGAACCCCCACUCCAAGCACGCCGCCUCCACCUCCGCCAGAAGACGGGAGAUGGCCGGCGGGGCGGCGCCACCGGCGGCCGGGAUGGGGGAGUGGAGGAUGGGGGAGAGGUCGAUGAGUGGGAUGCCAACGGCCGCCUCCGGGGCGGUGGGUUUGGGCCGGUGCUCGGGAGCUUGGACGAAGGCUGGAUCCACUAGAGAGCCCAUAUCUUUCCCUUUACGCGCGAAACGAUUGUUGGUUCGAGGGUGGUUGCUCUCUCUCUUCUCGUUUUAUCAUUGAUUGGAUACAAUGAAUCUGGACUCUUUGUAUCUUCUGCUCUUUGUUGCAAAUUUUUUCUCCCCUUUCUUGUCGCUCGUCUCCACCUGCCACCAAACGGCUGACGUUAUCUGUGACGCAGAUCAGUCGAAAGAGAGCGAAAACGUCGCUUCGAGGAUUUUUUUUUAUUUUUUAUAACACGAAAAUUUUUAUAUCAUUCUAGUUGGAAUACAUCCAACAAAAUUAGAAAAAAAAAAUCAACAACUCUAUACCGUCCCAAAGCAAACCGCCAGAGUGCUGGGUGACAGACGAUGCCACCCAAUCAGUCACUCUAUUCGUCUCUUGGAUGUACAUGAGUAACACGGGCAUCCGGACAAUCUCACAGAAAAUCAUGGAUAUCAUACAAAAGAGGGUGCUCGACACCAGCUCUGGCAUGGCCCUAAAUCCAUUAGAUGAUGAUAGUCGCCGAAUUCCCUUCAAGCUGAAUAUGAUCGACUCCUAGAAAGAGGCAAGCAUAAGUAAUACCCUCCCAGGCUGCCCUCAUCUCCGCCUCAGGAACAAAAGUGUCAUAAAGCCGACAACCUAUUGUCGCAAUCAAGCUAGAGUCGAAGCUUCUGAUGAGAAACCCAACCCUACCUCUUCUUCCGUCAUCCACCACAUUGUCAUCGAAAUUAUCUUGAGAACGCUCGGGGGUGGAGGCUUCCAGGUGAUAAAUAUCACCCGAGGCGCCAUAAGAGCUGAAAGGGAGCCCCGGGUAUCCCUCACAAUCCCAAUUCCAUCGACGGUCAUAACUUGGGUGUGCUCUGCUGCAUGGAUAAGCAUCUUGUCUGCUACAAUCCUCAGGCUCUUCCCUCUUCCCUCAAAGGCUCUGGUGUUUUUGUUCAACUAAACAUGAUAAGAGCCAAAGGCCGGCCCGCCACCGCCACAAUCUCCAUUAUCGAGUCCUUCUCCCAGUACUCCAAUGGGAGAGAGGGAAGAUGGAGCCAAACCACCAUCUUCUUUACUUUGGCCAUGCUAGCGAUGAAACCAGGCUUCCACCGUUCCAUAGCAAGGCAUUGGCCGGCCAUCACCCAUGGCCUGUUCGACAGGGCUGCAUUCCGAUCAUCUUCACACCGGAACGGAAGACAUAAUUGUCCUCCGCCAUCAGAAAAGCUUCCACCUCAUACUCUAGCUUCUCCCGGAUCUUGAGAUCCUUAGUUAUCCAUUCCACAGGAACCCUCCGCCCGAGGCUCCGAGCGACGAUCUCCAUCAUCUUCCAUGCCAUCCUCUUCGUCUCCACCCACUCCAUUGGUAGUUUCAAAGCCUCCACAAAAUACCAUUGGAGGUUUUCAAUCUCCUCCUUGAAGAUUUGGUGAUUUGUCCACAAUGGUUGUCAGAGGAUGCCUACACCAUACUAGACCACGUCCGGUUGUCUCCUCUGUGCUCCUGGUUCGGCCAAUCCUCGCUACUGCAGAAUGUCGUUGCUGGCCUAACACUAUGGGGGCGUUUGGUAUGGACUGAUCGUCUUAGGAUCAAGGGUGAUGUGGGUGGAGGUGAUGAGAUCACCGCGUUUGGUUGCACCACGAUGAUCCUACGUGGUGGUGAUCUUAAAUCACCUCCACUCCUCAAAUCACCCCCCAACUCAGUGAUUAGAUACUCGUCCUUGAGGUCGGAAAUCCAAGAUCACCCGAGGACAGUGAUCCUGGGUUGAAAGUUAAAGACAAAAAUAUCCCUCAAGUUAGCAGAAAAAUUGAUAUAUCAAUAUACCAUCAAUAUAUUAUAUCAAUAUUAUAUAUAUAUAUAAAUAUAUGUAUAUAUGUAUAUGUAUGUAUGUAUGUAUAUAUAUGUAUGUAUAUAUAUGUAUGUAUAUAUAUGUAUGUAUGUAUGUAUGUAUAUAUAUGUAUGUGUGUAUGUGUAUAUAUAUAUAUGUGUGUGUGUGUGUGUGUGUGUAUCUAUAUAUAUUAUGUUGAUAUUAUAUAUUAUAUUAAUGAUAUAUAUUAUAUUGUCAUAUAUUACUAAUCAUAUUAUUAUCCUAUUAUUAUUGAAGGAUAAUUUUAAAUUGUAGUAGAAAUAUAUUAUUAUUUUUUAUAUUUAUAUAAUGAAAAUAUUUAAUAUAUUACUAUAUUACUUCUAUUUACCUUAUUUUUUAAUCAAAAUAAUUAUUAGUAUUAAAAAAAUCUAUUAUAAGUAUAAAUAAAAAUAUUAAUUCUAUAACGAAAAUAACAUAUUUUUAUAAGAUAAAUAAUUUAUAGGAGUAAUAAAUAUAUUGUUAUAGAAUAUAUUAAUAAUUAAUAUACUGAUAAAUAUAUUAAUAUUUUAUUAUAAUAUAUUUUAUAUGAUUAAUAAAUAUAUGAUAAGGGGCUACUAAAAGUAGAAUAUGUGACAAAAUUAUGGAGUUAUUAUAAGAAUUAGUAUAUUGACUUCUAUUUUUAAUUCAUGAGAAUUAAAAAUAUAUAAAAAAUUCAUCUAAGAUAUAUCAAGAGUAAUUGUGGUAUUAUGUGAUCAGUGAUCUUGGAUCUCCGUACCAUACCAAACAAGUUACUCAUGGAUAUCCGGAGAUUUUUAAUCACUGAACCAUGGCCUACCAAACACAUUGAUCUUAGAUCACUAGGGAUCAAAUCAUCCCAGCAUUCGGAUCACCGUGGUGAUCCUGUUGGGGUUACCAAACGCCCCCUAUGGUUAGCCAUCCGGUCACCCACCACUUGUUCGACAGAAGGUCGUAGAAACAGCACGAACCUUCAACCAAAUUAUUCUAUUACCACACUACCGAGAGGAAAGAGCAGGCGUGUUCAACUAAGUUUUAGCCUACUUUGGAGCUUCCGGCAACCGCUUCAUUCCUCGAUUCUUCCGAGUACAAUUUUGUUUUCUAUAUUUUCACGACCAAGCACUGGUUUUGGAUGAGCCUUUUAAUAAGUUGGUAGGUCUCCUGUCACCAUGGCAGGAACUGGAGAUGAAACAAAGCUAACCACCAGGUCUCUCUCGCUCACGCACGCACCCAACCACCCCCACCCACCACCAGCUAUCGAUAGGACAACUUUUCACCCCUCAUCUUUAGACAUUAUAUCAACGACAUUAUGAUUGAAAACAGGUCGUUGUUUCAAGGAGUCAUUUAUAGCAAGUCAGACAUCCACAUCAUUUCAUACUAACAACAAAAGAAAUUGCACAAUCAUUACAGCAAACAUUUAAACCUAUAUCACACGUUUAGUUGGUUUGCUUUGUUGGCAGUCAGGUUUGUAACUCAAAAGUUCUCUACCAAAUUAUAACUGUUGGGGAGAACAAGAUUUUUCCUCAAAUGACGCAAAUGUCCCUAAGGAGCCGCACGACCUCCGACCCUGGACGACCGAAGUCGGCGUCCGACCUCGGGACGCCCGACCUCAAGACGACCGACCUCGAGACCUCCGAUUUGAGAAAAGCCCCGAUGUUCGAGGUCUACUCUUGUCAGCCACCUACUACGGCCGUGCACCUCUGAGGUCCGGCCGAAGACCAUACCCUGACGCCCCUCUGGCAUUUAUUGCGCAUGGUCGCUGUAACCCUCCGGCUCACUCAACAAUUAAUGCGGAUCUCCGGCUCACUCAACAAUAAAUGCGGANNNNNNNNNNNNNNNNNNNNNNNNNNNNNNNNNNNNNNNNNNNNNNNNNNNNNNNNNNNNNNNNNNNNNNNNNNNNNNNNNNNNNNNNNNNNNNNNNNNNNNNNNNNNNNNNNNNNNNNNNNNNNNNNNNNNNNNNNNNNNNNNNNNNNNNNNNNNNNNNNNNNNNNNNNNNNNNNNNNNNNNNNNNNNNNNNNNNNNNNNNNNNNNNNNNNNNNNNNNNNNNNNNNNNNNNNNNNNNNNNNNNNNNNNNNNNNNNNNNNNNNNNNNNNNNNNNNNNNNNNNNNNNNNNNNNNNNNNNNNNNNNNNNNNNNNNNNNNNNNNNNNNNNNNNNNNNNNNNNNNNNNNNNNNNNNNNNNNNNNNNNNNNNNNNNNNNNNNNNNNNNNNNNNNNNNNNNNNNNNNNNNNNNNNNNNNNNNNNNNNNNNNNNNNNNNNNNNNNNNNNNNNNNNNNNNNNNNNNNNNNNNNNNNNNNNNNNNNNNNNNNNNNNNNNNNNNNNNNNNNNNNNNNNNNNNNNNNNNNNNNNNNNNNNNNNNNNNNNNNNNNNNNNNNNNNNNNNNNNNNNNNNNNNNNNNNNNNNNNNNNNNNNNNNNNNNNNNNNNNNNNNNNNNNNNNNNNNNNNNNNNNNNNNNNNNNNNNNNNNNNNNNNNNNNNNNNNNNNNNNNNNNNNNNNNNNNNNNNNNNNNNNNNNNNNNNNNNNNNNNNNNNNNNNNNNNNNNNNNNNNNNNNNNNNNNNNNNNNNNNNNNNNNNNNNNNNNNNNNNNNNNNNNNNNNNNNNNNNNNNNNNNNNNNNNNNNNNNNNNNNNNNNNNNNNNNNNNNNNNNNNNNNNNNNNNNNNNNNNNNNNNNNNNNNNNNNNNNNNNNNNNNNNNNNNNNNNNNNNNNNNNNNNNNNNNNNNNNNNNNNNNNNNNNNNNNNNNNNNNNNNNNNNNNNNNNNNNNNNNNNNNNNNNNNNNNNNNNNNNNNNNNNNNNNNNNNNNNNNNNNNNNNNNNNNNNNNNNNNNNNNNNNNNNNNNNNNNNNNNNNNNNNNNNNNNNNNNNNNNNNNNNNNNNNNNNNNNNNNNNNNNNNNNNNNNNNNNNNNNNNNNNNNNNNNNNNNNNNNNNNNNNNNNNNNNNNNNNNNNNNNNNNNNNNNNNNNNNNNNNNNNNNNNNNNNNNNNNNNNNNNNNNNNNNNNNNNNNNNNNNNNNNNNNNNNNNNNNNNNNNNNNNNNNNNNNNNNNNNNNNNNNNNNNNNNNNNNNNNNNNNNNNNNNNNNNNNNNNNNNNNNNNNNNNNNNNNNNNNNNNNNNNNNNNNNNNNNNNNNNNNNNNNNNNNNNNNNNNNNNNNNNNNNNNNNNNNNNNNNNNNNNNNNNNNNNNNNNNNNNNNNNNNNNNNNNNNNNNNNNNNNNNNNNNNNNNNNNNNNNNNNNNNNNNNNNNNNNNNNNNNNNNNNNNNNNNNNNNNNNNNNNNNNNNNNNNNNNNNNNNNNNNNNNNNNNNNNNNNNNNNNNNNNNNNNNNNNNNNNNNNNNNNNNNNNNNNNNNNNNNNNNNNNNNNNNNNNNNNNNNNNNNNNNNNNNNNNNNNNNNNNNNNNNNNNNNNNNNNNNNNNNNNNNNNNNNNNNNNNNNNNNNNNNNNNNNNNNNNNNNNNNNNNNNNNNNNNNNNNNNNNNNNNNNNNNNNNNNNNNNNNNNNNNNNNNNNNNNNNNNNNNNNNNNNNNNNNNNNNNNNNNNNNNNNNNNNNNNNNNNNNNNNNNNNNNNNNNNNNNNNNNNNNNNNNNNNNNNNNNNNNNNNNNNNNNNNNNNAUAUAUAUAUUUGCAUGAUUUUGAAAUUACCACCCGAGAAGCUGGGAUGAUACAAGCAUGAUAAAGGCACCAAAUUUCUGCUAUGGAGCUUUCAAAAUCCCCAUCAUAUUUCAAGAACUUUAAAUCCAGCAACUUUCUCACCCACCCUAAAGUCAAUAUAUAAGAUUAGAGGAAUGGUCCCAAUCCAGUCAACUUCACCCUUGUAAGGAGACCACAAGUUUGCAGGCCAAUCUGCUAUCAGGUUUCCUUCCCAAUAAUAAUUGGUAGCUUUGAAAUGGGACAUUGAACCAUUGAUAUGACAUGAAACCACUUAAACUCUUAUACAACCUCAGAGAUGAAUGCUUAGGGUGCAUCUUCAUAUUCUGGUGCUUGGGUGGCAGGGUCACCAUAUGCUCCAGGGGCGCCAGUAUUUCAGACAAGGAUAUGCAUCAUUAGUCACAAAGAUAAUGUAAUGGAUGUGAUAGAACCUUCAUCAGUGAUUUACAUAUGACUAACAUCACCUGCUAGGAACCUUCAGUUGCUCCAUCAUGCUUCUACUGUGACCAGAGCAUCCAAUCACAAGCAAAGCUUGUCGGACGGCUGAAAUUGUUGCAUACGAGGCAAUGUAGUCCAAGGUAUAGUUGACAAGUAUAAUAGCUAAUUUUAUUUGCACCAAAGAGCUCAUGAUCAGAGAAUCUAAAAAUCAAAUAUUUCAACACUGAGUUCUCACCAAAUCUAUAUGUUUAUAGGUCUUAAGAAUUUUAGUAAGUUUUCUUUUAUGAUUUCAAAAAUUGGGGUUUAGUGCCUAAAUUAGUGAUCAUGUAUAUGCUACUAAUACAUUAUACAAGAAUUCAAUUGACUAUUGCAUAUCAAUAAAAUAUCCGAGAGAACUGGUUCUCUGCGAGAAGAGUUCUUCAAUCCCCACUCUCUUCAAUUCAUCCAUAUUGAGUCAAAAUGAUGUGAGAAAUAUAUAAUGGUGCUGAACUCUUCUCCAUCCGGAAAAUGAUGCGAGACCAAACCUACCUUAAUUUCACGAAUAUACAGAGACCUGUGCUUCGGGCAAAAGAGAACACAAGCGGCACUUGUUUCAGAGGCGGGCACCUCUAUGAGGUUGCCUCAGCUUCCUCAUAUUAUAUAUGGAACGUUACCUCCUCCCCCGCGCCCCAACCCCCCGGUCUCAUGUUCAUGUAUGUGCCUAUGGAAUGUUAUAAAUGGGGAGUAGAAAAGAAUGGGGCAGGGGUUAAAAAAAAAAUCAAUUAAUAAAUGAUCUAGAGAGACAAACAGAAAACCCCCUCUGGAAGAUUUCCAGGCAUGGAAAGUGCAGUAACAUAUCUUUGUGGAAAUGUUUUGCGGAGGGCAUUUUCAGAAGUCGAUGAGCUCUCAACUCCAUCUGUGUGAUUCCGACCAUGGAACUUGCCUAAACGGUUGACGAUGGAAAACCUCUCCAACUCCUGGCACUCCAGUCGUACAUCCAACAUGGCGGUCCUCCUGUCCAACCUGGUAAAUAAGGAGAAACUAUUUAAGAAGAGCAGUAAGGAAAAUCAGUGUGACAUAACAGAGAUCUUUGGAUAUCCGCAGGCUCCUUCAUAGCUUCAAGCGCAAAGACAUCACAUUUUGGAACAGAAGAUGGAAGGAUCAAAUAUAUCAACAUGACAUAUAUUCCCAAAAUUAAAACUCCAUGUAAAAGGAAGAUUGAAAAGGAGAUUUUGUGGAUAUACUUGCAGCAAGCAUGGUAAACCCAAAAAAGAAAAAAAAAUUGAGAGAGCGAGAGAUCAUGUUUGAUUGAAUACAUCUAUUGCAUUUAUCUGCCUUCAACCACCUAGUGAACCGAUGAAAGUUGCAUACAUAAUUAUCAAUACAAAUAAAGUUAGAAAAUGAGAAUGAUAACAAAACAUCCAGUGAUUGAACCUAAGUAUUUAACUGGCUGAUGAAAUCAUAGUCAUCCAUCAAAUACACCCUUAAGAACUAGUCCUUUUUGAAGAAAACUCCCUCUAGAAUUGAACAUGUUCAUAUGCGCCUUCGCCUAUAAUCAAAAAAUUGAAAAAGAAAGCAAAAGACCAACAGAACAUAUUUUUAUCGGAUGAGAACCAUAAUCAGAAGUAACCAUCAAAUGCUCUGUGCCUUUCCCUAUACUUCAAAAAAAAUUGAAAAAGCAAAAGACCAAUAGAAAACGCUUUAUGAAAUGAGAACCAUAAGCAUCCAGCAUAUACUUCUGUCACUUGAACCUAUCAAAUGCAAUCACAUAUAAUCAAAUCACAAGUAACCAUCAAAUACUCGUACCUCCACAACCAAUCAUGUGCAUCAUGCUGCCCAUUGCAUAAAUUAAAAAACAUAUUGGAAAAGAGAAAACAAGUGAAUAUCUGUUGAUGAAAUCACAGACAACAAUACUCUUUCCACUUAAUUUUGUGAUAGGAUCAGACAAACCCAUUGAAUAAAUUCUCUUCUUGAAUCAAUCCCAUACAUUAUGCACACAAGCAACCAGAAAGUUCUUAAAAAAUGGCAGUACUAACCUAAUUCCAAGCAGUUAAAAGUUGAUGAAUCGAAGUCAUUUAUCCAGUCAUAUAUACCGCACUUGCCAAGUUCUACUUUAUCUACAAAAAUCAUUUCAAUUUAUCCAAUCGAGUAAUCCACAAGUUCUAAAAAGCAUAUAACAAAGCAGUGUUCACAAUUUAUAAAAGGAGAUCCCCAAAAAUACUGCCCAUGGGCACAAGCGUCCUCUGGAUUUCCGUUCCUUUAUUUGUCAGGAAACAACAAUAGCAGAAGAGUUGGGAUCUCUAAGUAAUCUGAUCAUACAAAAUUUCUCAGAUUCAUAUGAGCUUUACGGAAACCUUAACCACUGAUUCCUUUCAAAGUGCUAAAUCCUCCAUUUAAGCAAGUUUUUUUCAGAUCCAUUUCAGCUUUCAUUCACCUUAUGAAGCAUGAAUCAACACCUCUUUCUUGUUGCAUACAACCAUAGGAUUUUAAUCAAUUUUCUCAUCAGUACAUCUUUUCUUGGUGCAUGUGCGCAAUUCUUGAACUCCGCAACUGAGUGCUCACUUUCAACUAUUGCCUACUUCUAACAUGCUACAUCUUCCAAACAACAUUCUAGAGCACAAGUUUCAAACAAUGCAAUCAUAUAACAUUGUAGAAGCACAUGACUUCCUCAACCUCGGACAAUCAAAGCAGAUACUAAGUGGACCAAAGAAGUUCAUAGAUCUAGUGAAUUACAUCCUAUGAUGGAUGACAAUCGCAAGCUGCCCCAACAAAUGAAGUUCUAGUUAGUUGGGACAACAUGUCAAAAUUCCUACUAUUGGAAGUCGAAAGAAUUGCACAGCUAUAAAAGGACCACAAGAGCAAAGAACCACGAUCCUAUGUGGUACAUAAAACAAACCAGAAAUCCCUAAAAAAAAGCAUCUCCAUAGAAGUUCUCCACUAACUUGCUAGAAGUCACAACAAAAAAUCAUACACGCAUGAACAUUAUCCAAGCCUUCUGUUGUCAAGAAGGCUCCAAAUAAAGAUUAAGCAGGGUAAACCUGAUAUUAAUCCACUUAUAUAUUGUAGACAGAUCACCCAGCUCUCAGAUAUGCAACAUGCACAAGCAACAAACUCUUUCGUCUUUCCCAUAUAAACAUGUUGUUGGCAAUUGAAAGCUCCUAAUCCUCUCAGAAGCCUCCUCUUAGUCAUAUUAACAAUCAUAGUCAAAAGAUUCUCCAACCAUUUCCAAGGUGACAGCACCUAGAAAAGCAGACUUUUGAGAGGAAAGAAAAAACACACAAAUCUCAGUAGAUUUCACCAACUACCAAUUCAAUCCUCCUCAAACGUUUGACAUGCCCGCUAUCCAGAAGUAUAUAAAGUAAUGAAUGCAAAAAAAAAAAAUAUCUCCUGGUCCUAUUCACGAGUUAUAGAGAUUAUUUCAUGCCCUAUCAAAUACCACAAGAAACACAGGUUGUGUCAAAUUUGCAUGCUGUCCAUGUCCGUCUUCUCGACACUUUUGCAAAAUAAUGGCAUGACCAUCAGAGUGCAGCACCACCCGUAAACUCAUAAAAAAUGGACAAUAGCAUGCUUGCUUCAAAUUUUUGUGUUCUAGCAUCCCCAGAAUCCGACAUUCUUUGAAAAAGUAACACCAAAUUAUAUUUCAUUUAUUGAUCAUUGGUCCCUAAAUUCUACUGAAACUCAAGUAAUUCCAAUAAACCAUAAGAUUGGGGUUGCUCACAAUUAUGGAUGCCACCUUCGGUGGCUGACACUUUCCCUUUUCACCUCUCUUGUUUAAUUUUUGUUGGAAGUAUUAGUUUUCUCAAGAUUUUGUUGUUUUGAUUCUUUCCAUUUUUCCAACAAAAACUUUCUAAGAGACGUCCAGCCAAAGAAUGUUGUACCGCACUGAACAGAGUACCAAGCUGUACCAAGGGUGGAUUGGGACGCACCCCCCCCCCCCCGAUUCAAGAAAUCGGGCGAAACAAUGGAAAGGAAGAUUUAGGGGCUCCACCCUGGCUAUUGCACGGCCAAAGGAGAGGAGGCUCGAAGCCCUCUCUCUCCCUCCCUCCCUCCCUCUCUUUUCAACAAAACAAGGGCCCUGACCCUAUUUUCAUGCGGCCAAAGGAGAGGAGGCUCGAAAGCCCUCUCUCUCCCUCUCUCGGCCUAUCUCUCUCCCCCUCCCCCUCCCUUCUCUCUUUUCCUCUCUUUCCCUCUCCCUCUACUCCCUCACUAGCUCUGGCUAUAUCAAUACAGACCUAGCAUGGAACAGCACAAUACUGUACCAUACCCUACCGCUAGGCAACCGGUAUCGGUAAGCACUCAUAAGAAAAAGUAACGAACAAUUGUUUAAUGAUUUUUAAAUAUAUAUCUAAUGGUUGUAAUUUUCAGUUUAAGAAAUAAAGCGCAAGCGACUCUCUCUAGUAUUUUCCUCUUUUUUACGUUUUCACUUUAUUGGGUUGAGAAAUUACCUCACAAUAAUUAGGAAUUCAAGACUCCAAUUUGUUGCAGAAUUCCAUGCAAAUAAGUAUAGAAUUGCAGCUACAAACAAAGACACACACAAACACCAAAAACCAAUGAUUCUAAACCCUUUGGAUCUAAUCAAGAUACUACAUUAGCUGCCUGUGUGGCACAUGAUUUUGCGCUCCAAAUAUGGAAAAUCAUUGUGGAUUCCUUUACCUAAGAAGAGCACAAAAAGGCAGUUGAGAUGUAUGUAUCACCUUAAGGCAAGAGAUAAUCAUUACAAACACACCCUUAAUAAUUUCAGGAAGCACCUUUCUCGCCUUCUAUACAACAUCAGGUCCCUUUUCUCUUUCGGUAGGUCACUUGCAUUAGUGUUUGAAUUCUCUUUUAUACUAGAAAAAAGAACAUAAGUUUGCACUUGUUUCUUUAUAAUCACUGGUUGAAACUUGGAGAUCUUCUCUUUCCAUCUCCUGCAGCGUUGCCUCAGGACUCCCCAAGAACAUCUCAAGCUACUUUUCUCUAAAGCAAUCUGUUCCCUAAUCCAAUUACAUAUUAGAUCACGUCUUUAUAAAAUCCCAUGUUAUCUCCAAACAAUACUACAUAUUCAAUCUCAUUUAGUUCCGAAGCUCACCAUUAGUUGAAAUAUAGUCACACCCACUUAUUGCUCUACAGUACAUGCUCAGCUUUUUUUUCUUUUCGUAUGGCAAGGCAAAAUGUUAUAAGGUAAAGAAUAGAGCAUAUGAGGGAUAGCUGAAUCAAUGUCAAGGCUGCUGCAGGAACACAAUAAGGAAAAAACAACCUGCAAUGCAGUAAAGCAUUUGUAAAGCAGUAAAUAGACUUCUUGGUACAAAUUAUAAAUAUAAUACAGGAUUAGAGCAAUUGCUCAUGGUACUGGAAAGUGGAAACUUACCCGUUUCAAGCAAUAUCUACACAGUUCAGUUUCUUUUCCAAUAUAAGAGAGUAAACCAAAAUCCACAAAUAAUAUCAUUCCUAUUCUCUACUUAUGUCUACCAAAAGCACCACUUAAUAUAAAUCUCUAAAAUAGAAGACAUGCAGAUAUUAAGUGAAAACAAAAUAGCAUGCAUAACAGUUUGUUCCUCCGAAGCCUAGUCAUAGUGCAAUAUGAUAUAUGUGGCUAGAACUUCCAUCCAUGCUCAAACAAAAUGCAGCCAUCCUUUCAAAACUGCCACACACGAAUGACCAUACACAGACAAUGAUGAGCCAUAGUUCAAAAUUGGAAAUUUUUUUUCUUUUAGACAACCAUGCACUAACCUAUCAUCAAACCAUUUAAUCAUAACUUUAAUAAUAUAAUCCUCUGUCAUCACCAUCCAUGAAUAAAAGCAUAGUUGAUCACCCUUAAAUUGCUUCAAGAAAUUAGGCCUCUCGCUCUUCACAUGAGGAAACGUUGGCAUUGAUAAUCCUUGGCUAGCUUAACUUCAGAUUAAGCAAUCAAUUUCAGAUUUUAAAAACCAUUUUAGAAAGAAAUACAAACAAUUACCCAGGUUCUCGGUAUUUUAGAAGCUUAAAGAUUUCUUUUUUCUUCAGUUAAAACCCCAAGUUUUCAGAAGAAAAUGAAGUCAUAUCCACAUGCUUGAGACAAUUGCUGCAACUCAAAAAUUUGUUACCAAGGAAUACAGUCAGAGAGCAAGGCUAAAGAUUCGACAAAUAAGUUUUGUAAUAAUUAAAUGUAAUAUCAAACAACACAGGUGGGGUUUAAAAUACUGAAAUACAGGCACAUAUCCUGGUAAAUUAGGCACCCUCAUACCAUAAAGAUGGUACAGGCAGUGCUUUCCAAGGAGUAUGCACCCAUACGAAACAGUACAUGGGCCCAUGAUGAAUGGGAAAUUUGAUCAUAAGUCAGAACUGACAAGCAAUCUUGCCAAAAGGAUAAAAAAUGUCAUAGCACAUCGAUUAAUGAUCAAAUUGGCAAGUCAUCUACAAAAAAAGGGAAAAAUGCACAGAUAGGAAGCUAUAUUAAAAUGUACUGGGAUCUCAGAUCUAUGGAAAUUUACAGAUGUUCCAUGACUAACACAGUCAGUCUAAUCUAAUUAUAAAGAUAUCAAUAGCAGCAAAACCAAUACUAAACUUCCAAACAGCUAAGGCCAAGUAAAUGACUGAACCAAUAUAUACAUAUAUAUAGAUUAAUCAGAAAAAAAUGGCACAUCAACAGAGACCCUGUAGUCAUUAAUACAAUCACGAGAGAGUAUCAACUUGGUCGCAAAAAGGGCAAGAGAGGAUUUUCCAUGCACUGAAAAUUGCUCGUACCUUAAGAAUUCACUUUCCAGCUUCUUCGAUCUUCCAAUGAAGUCCUCGACAACUUUGGAGUAAAUGUUGUCUCCCACUUUCUCCGAAGUCUCAAGUUUUUCUGAUAUCCUACAAAAUUAGGGGGAAAACAAUUGCCUUUAGAUGGCCAUGUUUUUAUCAAAGGUUCCGUAGAAAACAAAUGCAUCAAUAUGACAUUUGUUCCAAUAAACAAGCAAUUAAAAUUAGCAUAUUAUCCAUACUUCAUAUGUUAGACAAAGCAAUUUAACAUCUUCAAAACAUACUAAUUUGCUCAUUUUCUAAGAAUGUCCUUACAUAUUUUCCUUGUCUAACUGCAUGCAGGAAUCACUUCCUGAGCAAUCAAUCAAGCUGCAUGCAUCUAGUAGUGCUGAUUUAGCAACAUAAUAUGUUGAACUUUCAUAAGCUGAAGUUGCUUCUGUUUUAAGAAUUGCAGCCGGUAUAGCAGGAAGAAGCUGCUGCAUUAGCUGACUUGUGAGGAUUAGUCUUCUUCUUGGUUGAGGCACUGACAAACCAUCCUCUAAUAUCUCAGCUUCAUCCUCCACCUAUAAUCAGAAUUGAGUGAUAUAAAGAAUAUGAUUACAAUAUAGGAACUAAUAGCAGUCAAAAUGGACAACUCACAAACCUUUUCAGUUAACCUAUUGGAAGCUUGAGUCCACUCCAGCUCUGCCAUGCUGUACACAAUUUCAAAAAUUUGCUUGUUAGAAAGAUCGCAAACAAAAUCACAUUGCUCCCAAGAACGGAAAAGGCAAAAAUAAAGUAAAUCAAUAAUUAAUGAAGUACUAGCACUUAUCAAACAAAGUUGAAACUGAUGGAAACGACCACCUGAUAGUCUGCAGCCAACGGGAACCAUUUGUAACCUCUUUAUGCCAUGGUAGAAGCUCUGAUGCUGCACUUUUACGCUUCUUUCUUGGAACUAUAUCAUGGUCUAUGACAUCAGCAGGCAGGCAACUAGGAGAUGAUUCAUUAGCAGCUACGGUCGUAGAUAAUGUACUUCGCCCAAGACCACCAGCAUGACCUGUAUCCAUUCUUUGAGCUACUAUGGUACUAUUAUCCAUGCUCCCAGAAGCUUUGGGGAAAUUAAACUGCGGUGUGGCAGGUUUUAUAGUCCUCUGGCCAUCAUACAUUGCAAGAAUCUGACCAUUUUUGUAGGUUCCAUACUGUCCAAACCAGGAGGGUGCCAUCUGAGGACUAAUUUGCGGGUGCUUGCUUUCUCCUGUUAGACCUGAUGCAGAACAUGCAGAAGAAGAGUGAAUGUGAGUUUGAAGAUCAGGACAUCCUACAAUGUGCAUGUCCUGAGAAGAUGCUUCUCUACCAGGGAUCUGGGAACAUGUGCUUGCACUUCUCUCUUCAUUGUCCCUUAAAGCAAAGCUGAGCAUUUUAACAUCUGAUGCGAAUGACCUGUGUGAAGUUGCACCCAGUUCACUAUCUGCAGGAACCCUGAAGGCUGCAUUCUGUCCAUAAACAAGCCCCUGAACUGCUUUCCAGUUCAUCCGUGAAGCAUCAGAACCAAAAUCUGCCCCUUUAAGCCUUUUUCCGGGCCUCUUGCUUGGAUCAGAAUAAGCACCUUUCAUGGCUUGCAUCUGAUGCAACAGAGCGUAAUUUUGCUGGUUAACAUCUGAAGGUACUGAAGUGUGCCAAUACAACCCAACAUCGCCACUAGAAGAUGCAGCAUUUGUAAGGGGAACAUGUACCAUCGGUGAGUUACAUGCUGUGGCGAUGUUUUCGCAUGGACUUCCUUCUAACAUAUGCUUUCGCAUGGGUUCUUGCCCCUGGAAUGCAAUGCCUGUCUUAGCAGCAACAUCCAACCCCUCAGAAGAUAGUUGUUGCAAGGAACUAUCCAUGACCGGAUGUUCGUCUCCAUAGAUGGCUUGUGGCGAUUUGACAGAAGAUGUACCAGACUCAGAUGGAGCAUUUUCUCCCUUUUGUUUUUGAUCAUCCACCUUCUGUGGGCGCCAAGGACCUGCAUUCCUGUUGUUACUUGAUAAAAUCACCGACUGAAGUAUAGCAGGAGUAAGCUUGUGAGGCUGGACGCCUGCUAGACGUUGAGCUGAUACAUUUGUCCAUACUUUAUGCAACAUUUUUGAGAAGCCAACUUGCUGAGGCAUCCCUGAUGUAGAAGGUUGUGAACCUGAUCCAGGUUCUACUACAGGGAGUUGCUGGCCUGAAUGUCCAGUACGAGAAAAGCCUGCAUCCAUUGGUUGGGAAUGAUCUGUCUGUGCAGAAUAAAAUGGUGAAGCAGGAGGUGCAUGAGUAUCAGCAGAGGAAGCAAGCCUGAAAGGUGGAAUUCUUCCAGCCAGAUUAGGCACUGAUGUCUGAAAAGGUUGAUCAGCUAAAACUCUGUCAUGAGAUUCAUUUGGCUGUCUAAGUAGAGGAACAUUUUUAAUGGAUGAAUUUACAUUGGCUUGACUGCCAAGAGAAACUUUUGCAGAUAACUCCAUUGUCUCAUUUCCAGAUGCUAUAGACAUGUGGUGUUGCUGCAACUGCUGCUGUAACUGGAAUCCCGCAUGAGAAAGAUCUAAAGCAGCUGUCGAUGAUGAGUUGACAUGACUAUAUGAUUGUGAGGUUUCCCUGCAUGUUUGUCCAGUUACACUGCAUCUAGUGUCCCAGUGUUCUAUUUUAGAUGCUUCAUGAGGCAGAGGUUGAACUGAAGCCGUAGAAGCUGACCAUGUUCGAUCUUUAUUUCUCGAUUCGUGGUCAAGUUGCUUACUACUAAACUCAUGUAAGGAAGUCUGAGAAGGCUGGUUUGAAACUGGUUGCCAUUGUGAUGGUGGACCCAAUCUUAAGCCAAAACCUUGUAAGGCAGAAGAGUGAACAAGUUGAGGACGAGAAGCAGAGAUAUCAGAAGCAGCUGCUUCGGGUACAUCAGAUGUAGCAAUAGCUUUGACAUCCCUUGACUGGUCCACCUUGUGAAGAAGCUCAAGCAUAUCCUGACUGCAAUAAAUCAGAUUGGUUUGACUAUUUAGAAAGAUACCUAAUAUAAGGAAUGGCCAAUACCACAGCCAGAAAUGGGCUCUCAUCCUGGCAAUGACAAGUUGCUUAUCCCCGAAAAAUUGGGAAAUGGAUAAAUGAAGACAUAAAGGAUGGUAAGUCUUCAAAUGACAUAUUGGAAGUUUUCAUACAAAAAUAUCAUUGAGAUCUGAUGCAUAAUUGAUAUAUUUAUCAAAUGAGCAACAUAAAAGUAAAAGAAGUGGAGCUAUAUUCAAUGCCAGUAAUAAGAUUCAUGCAUGUAGACAUCUGAAACGAGGAGUGAAGAGAUCAUAACAAUGUAAUUAAAUAGCAAUAUCUCAAGCUACCAGUUACCUUGUUUGACCAAUUCCUUUAUUAUGAGAAUUUUGAGCAGUUGAUCCAUCAAAGGAGGCAUACCCAGAAGAGUCAUGGCUUGGUACAGUACCUGUAGAUUGUAUGUCCUCUGCUCCUUUUGGACUUCUCUGUAAAUUAGUUAAGUUUCCCUGUAAAUGAAGAAGUGUCAUUAACACCUGAAAGAAAGAGGUUUGAUGAAGUAUAAAUGACAUCAGUUAUAAAAUCAACUAGCACAUUAAAUACAUCAGUACCUUUGCCAUGCCAAUGACAUUAUUCGAAACAGCCGGGCCGGCAAACUGCGAGUGCCCAAUAUAUCUUUGCUCCUGAUUUGAUCCUUGGAUCACUGAUCGAGGCAGACCUUGAGGGUAUGAUGCCUGCAAAGGGAGGAUAGAAGGUUGAACAUUCAUCCCCAUACUUCCAAUUUGAUGAUACUCGACUAUGUGGGACCCACGAGUUUGUUGACCAGACUGACAGAAUGAUUUUUGGCUGCCACUACCCAAAGCACGGGAGUCAUCUUCAGUUGACAAUGGGCUCUCCCUUGCAGCACCUCCACUACUGCCAUGCUGCCCAAGAUUUGAAUGGUUUGACCUAUAGACUUCAUUUGAAGCCACCUUUGAAUGUUCAUGCUUGCCAUCGUAGUUCUCAACCAAUUCUUUUCCAGCGUUAUCUCUGGUUGUUUCCCAAGCUUGUGAUCCACUGCUUUUAUUAUACAGGUUUCCUCCCAAAUUUUCAUCAUUUGCAGAAUUUACAUAGGAAUCAAGGGCAACAUGUUUUCCACGGUCAAUCUGUUGUCUAUUAAAUAGAUACUGAUUCAUUUCCUGAUUCAAUUUCAAAGUGCUCGAAUUCAUAACACUAGUUACAUUACCCAUACAGGAAGCAUCACUUCGCAUCUGGGGACUGCCAAUAUCAGAUUUCACAGACUCUGAUCCACCUGUCAAAGUCACUUGAUUUCCACCAACCUUCCACAUACUGCCAUCGCAACUCCUUUCAGUAUUCAUAAUUCUGUUUGUGUUAUUCCUUUGACCAUACUUAGCGCCAUCAUUACCCAGUGAAUGUUGGAUGUUCCAGCCAUCUGGCUUGUUACUUAAUUGACUAGCAGUAUUUGACAAAGGCAUGUUUUGCUGGUGAGUCCAAACACCGUGCAUGUUAUGAGACUUAGACUCCACUGUUGAAUAACAUGAAUUGCUUUCCAACUGCCCAUGUGUUUGCCCAGCCCCAACACCGUCAUUUGUGUGCAUUUGUGAUUGGAGGUCACCCUCAAGGGACUGCUUUUGAUUCUGAUUAUGAAAAGACUGCUUGUUCUGUGUUUCUCUAGUUGACCGCUGGAAGGACUCAUGGGAAGCUUCAGCUGGUACUCUAUCAUUUUGUUCAUAUGUAGAUGUAAAAGAAUGAUGAAAACCAGGGGCAGUAGAAAGGCUUGUUCUUGCAUCAGUAUUGUUAAACAAAGGCAAAGGUCUUGAAAUUAAAGAAGGUGUGUUCUGCAGGUUAUUGUCAUUCCAUGUUGCUUGCUGUUUCCCAUUGUCAUUAGAUAUAGCUGAAUGGUUUCCAAUAGAGGGUUCUGUUUUGUGAAAAGUCAAGCCACUCCAUUCUUCCUGAUGCCCCGUGUCACUACUAGAAGCCUGUACAGCCUCCUGCAUAAGGGCACUCCAACUGCCACUCUGGACAGAUGGAAAUGCACCACAAUAAUCAUUGUCCAAUGAAUUUCCUUGCAGAUAGCCCCCUGUGCAAGAGUUAACACUCUUUCCAAAAGAAAACCCCCAAUUGUCAUCAUCAUCAGUGCCAAACAAGAUCUUCUGUUCUGUCGGAUCUAAACUUGCUGCAUCAUGAGAAGGUCCUACUUGUGCUUCUGGUUUUUCAUGCAAGUCACCUGACAAAUCAGAUUGCUCCUGCAUACCUUGAAAAUUCUGGAGCUGAAAACGGCGCUGCAAAUGAUUUGGUUGUUGAAAAUUUCCUGAUGCAACACCACUACUUACACUCUGCACCAAAGCAUUCCCAAACAAACUUUUUUCUUGAAAGCUCUGUGUAGAAAUUGAUAUAUUAUCCUGCAAACCAGCUUGUUCAGCAAAACUCUGACCACUUUGAAAAGAUCUAAGCGGACCUGAAUGCAUAGACGCCUUUUCUGGUUGGUUCCCAAGUGUCUUAGUCAUCAUAUCCAUAUUGUCACUAGGCAUCCCUUGGAACUCAGAGUAUUGAUUCAUAGAACCUCUGCUGCUGGAGACUGGUAUGCCACGCAGAGACUGAUCAAGCUGCUGUGGGACAAACCCCAUCGCUUGAAUUGUUUGGCCUUGGUCAUUUGGAAACAUCAUACCAUUUGUCAAAUUUUGCAUGGCAGGAGAGCCACUUGGCUGUGUGCAGUUCAUGUUACCAGCAACAAACAUCUGAGGAAUGCCAGGUGAUUUGGACUCACCUCCCACAAAAUUAUUUGGCCAUACAUAGUUAGAUGCAUCAUUGAUGGGAAUUUCAUUAACAAGAGCAGGAAACUGAUUGAUAGCUGCUGGCUUUGCAGCAGAAGACAAUUGAUUGAGCAGACUCUGCUGCCUUGCCCCUUGAUCCAGCUGCUGAAGUUGCUGCUGUCUCUGAAGUUGUUGAAGCUUGUUGUACAUCAACUGUUGUUGCCACAACUGCAUGUUGUUAAAACCUGGGUGCUGCCUUAGAUGAGGUUGUAAUGUUCCUAGGAGGUGGCUCCUAACGAGCUGCUGUUGACUGCGACGAAAGUCAAAAUUUACAGGAGCCUGGGCAAACUCUGGUGUUUCUGAAUUUCUUAUAAGGCCUGAACUGUGUUGAGGAGCAUUCCCCUGCAGUGGAUUAAAAGUAGCUAAGCCUCUACAUAUAGAAUUAUGUCUAUCAGAAAAAGAGUUAUCCUCUAAAAACUUUGACUGAUCAGGCCUUGUCUGAGUAUCUUGAGAGCCAUGCAUAAAUCCUUUCAAACCUAACUGUUGGUCUCUAGGCUGACUGUUACCAAAAUAUGGACUAAGAUUUGUCUGAGUGAAAAUCACACCAAAAGGCUGUGAAGACAGAUUGGUAUUUCCUGUCUCAGAAUCUGAAGAUGAUAAACCAAUAAAAAAAAAAAUUCUUAAAACAACAUGAAGAAACAAGCUACUUCAUAACCAACUAAACAGGUAUGCUUUGCAGAAGGGCAAAAUAUCUAUUUACUUCUCUUUCAUUCAUUUAAGGACAGACCAACAAGAAAACACAGUUAUACAUGAUUACAGUUGUAUUAAAGAUGACCCACUUAUCAAGCAGCAGUAUGACCACAAUGUCGCUCAAAGUUUAAGGGUUGCAAUGAUUAGGGGUGGAAUCAGAUUCUAAUGGGGACAAAAGCAAGAGAGAAAUUAAUAGGCACAUACCUAUAGACUGAGCAGUGGAAAUUUUUGAAUUAACAUUCAGGGGUAUUUCGCCCUGGCUUUGAAUUCCAGCCUGCAAAUUGCUAUUGAAAUUUGGCCAACUCCCAUUUCCAAUUUCAGAUUGACGACUCUGGGAUGUUUGUCUUGCUCAAAGAAGUUGUGGACCUCUUCAGCAAUUUCAUUCCCAGGCAUAGAGAGUCCAGCCUUGACCAACCAAGCCUUAUAACUCAGAUUGUCUACAAAUUAAGCAUGCAGUAUAUGACAGGUGUCCUGACAGUAAGAUACUUCCUUUCUCUUAAGUGCACCCUCAGGAUGUCAACCCUGUGAAUAGAUUGAUUUAAAAAUGAAUAGAUAAUAUAACAAAACUCCUCUGAGCAAAGUUAUACGGCACAUAAAUCAGGUGGUGGCUCAGUAAUUAUGGAAGAUGAACAAAAGAAACAAAGAAUACAUGUAGUAAGUCAUGAAAUGGGCAUUAUGAUGUCACCGAACUUUUCAUGUAGCUGCAGCCAGAAAAAUACAAAUAGAAUAACUACUAAAGAAGAAGAAAUGACACUUGGAUACACUUAACAUUGUCCCUUCAUAUCAAGUGUUUCCUUACAACUUGUCAAAAAAAUAUCUCAUGGGCAUGAAAGUUAAGUCAUAGAAUAAAACUAAAAAACAAUAACUCGGUACUAGGAGGCUUGUAACAGUUUAAACUUAGAACAGUAAUUGCCAAGAGCAUUUAAUUUAGGUGAAAAUGGCUUAAAUAAAUUGGUAGCCUUUUCAUAAGGCAGAAUAUUUAUUUAACAUUUACAUAAAACAAUGAUAGCUUAAAGAAAAACUGUCAGAGGGCAUACAUAAAGAGACAGACACAAGAAUCUAGUACAAAAGGUGAGAACGAAGUACUCAUGCAACAAAACGGCGCACAGAUAAGAGGUUCAUAUGAAUCUGUAGAGGGAAAAAGAGCAGGUUAAUUAAUCUGCAAGAUUUAUCUGCCCAUUCUUUAGCUUUAAAAAGAAAAAAAAUAAUGGCAAACCCUUAAAUCCAUUAUCAGACCAUAUGAUGGAAUGACAGAAGUCUAGCAAAUCACAUAAUGUUCCAUUCUUAAAAACAAAAUUAAUAGCUUUCAUAUAAAAAAGGUCCUACCAAAUUAACAGCUUUCAUGUACAAAAAGGUUGGUCAAUGCUGAUCCUUGACGGAAGACAGUUUGAUUUUGUUGCUCUAAUCUUCAGCUCUUGAGAUAUGAUUUUGUGUUACCUCUGACACCUUUGAAGAUACUAAAAUGGACACCACACAGUUUUGAGAUAUUUUUUUCUUAAGACUAAUUCCUGAAAUGCUAGCACAAAAUAUGUUGGCUGGAGAGAUGCAGUUUAAAAUUACGUAAUAAUAUUAAAUAAUUCAUUCGUUCCACAGUGCAAGGCAACAAACCAAUGCAAGAAGAAGAUGAGCCAUAAGUUAUGAGGUGAGUUUGUGGGAAAUAAAGCCGAGAGACAAUAUUUUGACAAACAUGCUAGCCCCGGAGCUUAAAGAAUCAAACUCAGUCAAGAUGCUUAAGUUUCCAAAAAUUUAUACGUCUGCCUGAGAUUCCAUUCAUCAACACUUCAUCUACCCACUUAACAAGACAUCGUCAUCAAGAAUCAUGUCUCCCCACAUAAAAACAGCUUAUAUCAGUAACAAGUAAAGCUCAAAACGAGCUACCCAAAUCCUCAGAAAGAAAGAAAACCAUUAUAUGGUAAGUAGAACUUCAACCUCUCAUGCAUAGCUCUUUAAUGCAUCUAAAACCCGGGCUCCAAGAGCCACCCACAUGAUCAUUAGCCGCUACUAAUUUCCAAACCAAUUCUCGAGCAAGAAGUCCAAAACCCACAUAUAUACGUUCCACCUGGUGCAUCAACACCCGGGCAUCAAAAUCUCGGGCGUAUCUAAGCAUUGAAGACCCAAAAGAAAUACCUCUUUUUACCCCUC